This is a non-coding RNA of Mycena vitilis, 92 nucleotides long. NCBI's taxonomy places the organism in Eukaryota, Fungi, Basidiomycota, Agaricomycetes, Agaricales, Mycenaceae. The record is from the annotation of a GenBank genome assembly.
UCUUGACUAGUAUAUCGGUUAGUACACGCGCUUGUCAUACGCGUGAUCUGAUCUGUCCGCGCGAAAGCUGGGUUCGACUCCCAGGUCGAGAG